UCAGGAUGAAGUGUAAACUCCUCCAUGG
Molecule: non-coding RNA, 28 nt
Filed under: Mus musculus (house mouse)
Lineage: Eukaryota; Metazoa; Chordata; Mammalia; Rodentia; Muridae
Source: RNAcentral